RNAcentral lists this ribosomal RNA (506 nucleotides) under uncultured bacterium. RNAcentral's name for it is "partial 16S ribosomal RNA". It matches the Rfam family "Bacterial small subunit ribosomal RNA", at positions 30 to 523 of the family's 1533-position model. The record is from RNAcentral.
AUUGAACGCUGGCGGCAGGCUUAACACAUGCAAGUCGAGCGGUAACAGAGAGAAGCUUGCUUCUCUGCUGACGAGCGGCGGACGGGUGAGUAAUGCCUAGGAAUCUGCCUAGUAGUGGGGGAUAACUUGCCGAAAGGUAAGCUAAUACCGCAUACGUCCUACGGGAGAAAGGAGGGGACCUUCGGGCCUUUCGCUAUUAGAUGAGCCUAGGUCGGAUUAGUUAGUUGGUGAGGUAAUGGCUCACCAAGACCGCGAUCCGUAACUGGUCUGAGAGGAUGAUCAGUCACACUGGAACUGAGAAACGGUCCAGACUCCUACGGGAGGCAGCAGUGGGGAAUAUUGGACAAUGGGGGGAACCCUGAUCCAGCCAUGCCGCGUGUGUGAAGAAGGUCUUAGGAUUGUAAAGCACUUUAAGUUGGGAGGAAGAGCAGUUAGCUAAUAUUUGACUGUUUUGACGUUACCGACAGAAUAAGCACCGGCUAACUUCGUGCCAGCCGCCGCAGUAA